Molecule: ribosomal RNA, 915 nt
Filed under: uncultured Candidatus Sumerlaeota bacterium
Lineage: Bacteria; Candidatus Sumerlaeota
Description: bacterial SSU rRNA
Rfam family: Bacterial small subunit ribosomal RNA
Source: RNAcentral
AGAGUUUGAUCCUGGCUCAGAAUGAACGCUGGCGGCGUGGAUUAGGCAUGCAAGUCGAGCGCGAAAGCUUGGGAAACUGAGCGAGUAGAGCGGCGACCUGGUGAGUACAAGGUGGGUAACCUGCCCCGAAGUGGGGGAUAACUGAUGGAAACAUCAGCUAAUACCGCAUGUGGACCUUGGGGAUUCGUCCCUGGGGUCUAAAGCAGCAAUGCGCUUCGGGAUGGGCCCGCCUCCCAUUAGCUAGUUGGUAAGGUAACGGCUUACCAAGGCUCCGAUGGGUAGCUGGUCUGAGAGGAUGGUCAGCCACACUGGGACUGAGAUACGGCCCAGACUCCUACGGGGGGCAGCAGUCUAGAGGCUUCGGCAAUGGGGGCAACCCUGACCGAGCGACGCCGCGUGGAGGAUGACGCCCUUCGGGGUGUAAACUCCUUUCGACCGGAAAGAAGGCCCGGACUCGUUCCGGGAUUGACGGUACCGGUGGAAGAAGCCACGGCUAACUCUGUGCCAGCAGCCGCGGUAAGACAGAGGUGGCUAGCGUUAUUCGGAUUUAUUGGGCGUAAAGGGCGCGUAGGCGGCCAGGCACGUCUGGUGUGAAAGCGCUACCGCUUAACGGAGCGACUGCAUUGGAUACGGCUUGGCUUGAGUCCGGGAGAGGUGAGUGGAAUUCCUGGUGUAGCGGUGGAAUGCGUAGAUAUCAGGAAGAACACCAGUGGCGAAGGCGGCUCACUGGCCCGGCACUGACGCUGAGGCGCGAAAGCGUGGGGAGCAAACGGGAUUAGAUACCCCGGUAGUCCACGCUGUAAACGGUGGAUACUAGGUGUGGGAGGUAUCGACCCCUUCCGUGCCGCAGGUAACCCAUUAAGUAUCCCGCCUGGGGAGUACGGCCGCAAGGUUGAAACUCAAAGGAAUUGACGG